This 66-nucleotide transfer RNA is filed under the name Cochylidia moguntiana. RNAcentral describes it as "tRNA-Ala". It matches the Rfam family "tRNA". From Rfam's summary of the family: Transfer RNA (tRNA) molecules are approximately 80 nucleotides in length. Their secondary structure includes four short double-helical elements and three loops (D, anti-codon, and T loops). Lineage: Eukaryota; Metazoa; Arthropoda; Insecta; Lepidoptera; Tortricidae. The record is from RNAcentral.
AGGAUAAUAGUUUAAUAAAAACAUUUGAUUUGCAUUCAAAAAAUAUUAUAAUUUUAAUUUAUCUUA